This 253-nucleotide ribosomal RNA is filed under the name uncultured bacterium. Its description in RNAcentral is "partial 16S ribosomal RNA". It matches the Rfam family "Bacterial small subunit ribosomal RNA", at positions 524 to 776 of the family's 1533-position model. The record is from RNAcentral.
UACGUAGGGUGCAAGCGUUAUUCGGAAUUACUGGGCGUAAAGCGUGCGCAGGCGGCUUUGCAAGACAGAUGUGAAAUCCCCGGGCUUAACCUGGGAACUGCAUUUGUGACUGCAUGGCUGGAGUGCGGCAGAGGGGGAUGGAAUUCCGCGUGUAGCAGUGAAAUACGUAGAUAUGCGGAGGAACACCGAUGGCGAAGGCAAUCCCCUGGGCCUGCACUGACGCUCAUGCACGAAAGCGUGGGGAGCAAACAGG